GAUUCUGUGGCGGAACUGGUAUACGCAACAGGCUCAAACCCUGUGGUUGAAAAACAUGUGGGUUCAAAUCCCACCAGAAUUA
This 82-nucleotide transfer RNA is filed under the name Eubacterium sp. RNAcentral's name for it is "tRNA-Leu". It matches the Rfam family "tRNA". From Rfam's summary of the family: Transfer RNA (tRNA) molecules are approximately 80 nucleotides in length. Their secondary structure includes four short double-helical elements and three loops (D, anti-codon, and T loops). Further hydrogen bonds mediate the characteristic L-shaped molecular structure. tRNAs have two regions of fundamental functional importance: the anti-codon, which is responsible for specific mRNA codon recognition, and the 3' end, to which the tRNAs corresponding amino acid is attached (by aminoacyl-tRNA synthetases). tRNAs cope with the degeneracy of the genetic code in two manners: having more than one tRNA (with a specific anti-codon) for a particular amino acid; and 'wobble' base-pairing, i.e. permitting non-standard base-pairing at the 3rd anti-codon position. The record is from RNAcentral. Lineage: Bacteria; Bacillati; Bacillota; Clostridia; Eubacteriales; Eubacteriaceae.